Molecule: small nucleolar RNA, 41 nt
Organism: Zalophus californianus (California sea lion)
Lineage: Eukaryota; Metazoa; Chordata; Mammalia; Carnivora; Otariidae
Gene: U3
Rfam family: Small nucleolar RNA U3
About the family: Small nucleolar RNAs (snoRNAs) are involved in the processing and modification of rRNA in the nucleolus. There are two main classes of snoRNAs: the box C/D class, and the box H/ACA class.
Source: Ensembl
AAGACUAUACUUUCAGGAAUCAUUUCUGUAGUUUGUUACUU